RNAcentral lists this ribosomal RNA (396 nucleotides) under uncultured Alphaproteobacteria bacterium. RNAcentral's name for it is "bacterial SSU rRNA". It matches the Rfam family "Bacterial small subunit ribosomal RNA", at positions 9 to 423 of the family's 1533-position model. Lineage: Bacteria; Pseudomonadati; Pseudomonadota; Alphaproteobacteria. The record is from RNAcentral.
GAGUUUGAUCCUGGCUCAGAACGAACGCUGGCGGCAUGCUUAACACAUGCAAGUCGAACGGAGCUUGGCUUUCGGGCCAAGUCGAGUGGCGGACGGGUGAGUAACGCGUGGGAACCUGCCCCUGGGUCUGGGAUAACCGCGGGAAACUGCGGCUAAUACCGGAUAAGUCCCUAGGGAGAAAGAUAUAUUGCCGAGGGAGGGGCCCGCGUCGGAUUAGGUAGUUGGUGGGGUAACGGCCUACCAAGCCAACGAUCCGUAGCUGGUCUGAGAGGAUGAUCAGCCACACUGGGACUGAGAUACGGCCCAGACUCCUACGGGAGGCAGCAGUGGGGAAUAUUGGACAAUGGGGGCAACCCUGAUCCAGCAAUGCCGCGUGAGUGAUGAAGGCCUUCGGUU